ACAUCGAUGGUUCAGUGGUAAAAUGCUCGCUUGCCACGCUGGCGGCCCGGGUUCGAUUCCCAGCCGAUGCA
RNAcentral lists this transfer RNA (71 nucleotides) under Cordylochernes scorpioides. RNAcentral's name for it is "tRNA-Gly". It matches the Rfam family "tRNA". Rfam says of the family: Transfer RNA (tRNA) molecules are approximately 80 nucleotides in length. The record is from RNAcentral. Lineage: Eukaryota; Metazoa; Arthropoda; Arachnida; Pseudoscorpiones; Chernetidae.